CUGGUAUGUUUAUAAUUUACUACUCUUAUGUAAUUUUUAUGCAUUUUACCCAAUAGUUUUUACUUUAUUAUAAGUUUGUAAAAUUAGUGGUUUUAUGUGUUUAAGUCUUCUUCCUAUUCUCCAUACUGUCAAUAUGAGUGCACUGUUUAGAGAACCAUGAUGUCCCUCACGAAGUUUGAACCUGUGUAGGGCCGGCUGUCUGCCUGCGUGUGCAUGCAGACAGCAAACCUUAUGUGUUAUAGCUGUGGCUGUCUGCCUGCUUUUGCAGACGGACAACCUUAUCUUUUGUUCCCCUGGUCUGCUCGGGCAGCCCCUCCCCUUAUAUCACUCUGGAUGACGCGUGCGUUCCACUUAGUCAGAACGCAUGCGUUCCACUGAGC
Molecule: non-coding RNA, 380 nt
Organism: Pelobates cultripes (western spadefoot toad)
Lineage: Eukaryota; Metazoa; Chordata; Amphibia; Anura; Pelobatidae
Source: the annotation of a GenBank genome assembly